Molecule: ribosomal RNA, 539 nt
Filed under: Priestia megaterium
Lineage: Bacteria; Bacillati; Bacillota; Bacilli; Caryophanales; Bacillaceae
Description: bacterial SSU rRNA
Rfam family: Bacterial small subunit ribosomal RNA
Source: RNAcentral
UGCAAGUCGAGCGAACUGAUUAGAAGCUUGCUUCUAUGACGUUAGCGGCGGACGGGUGAGUAACACGUGGGCAACCUGCCUGUAAGACUGGGAUAACUUCGGGAAACCGAAGCUAAUACCGGAUAGGAUCUUCUCCUUCAUGGGAGAUGAUUGAAAGAUGGUUUCGGCUAUCACUUACAGAUGGGCCCGCGGUGCAUUAGCUAGUUGGUGAGGUAACGGCUCACCAAGGCAACGAUGCAUAGCCGACCUGAGAGGGUGAUCGGCCACACUGGGACUGAGACACGGCCCAGACUCCUACGGGAGGCAGCAGUAGGGAAUCUUCCGCAAUGGACGAAAGUCUGACGGAGCAACGCCGCGUGAGUGAUGAAGGCUUUCGGGUCGUAAAACUCUGUUGUUAGGGAAGAACAAGUACGAGAGUAACUGCUUGUACCUUGACGGUACCUAACCAGAAAGCCACGGCUAACUACGUGGCAGCAGCCGCGGUAAUACGUACGUGGCAAGCGUUAUCCGGAAUUAUUGGGCGUAAAGCGCGCGCAGGC